GUGUUGUAUGAAAGGAGAGAAGGUUAGCACUCCCCUUGAUAAGGAUGGAAGAGGUCCUAGUGGCCUUUACAAUAUAUAUAUGGUUAAUGCAUUGCCACCUACUCUGUGAAAUCUAUUAAA
This 120-nucleotide non-coding RNA is filed under the name Notamacropus eugenii (tammar wallaby). Lineage: Eukaryota; Metazoa; Chordata; Mammalia; Diprotodontia; Macropodidae. The record is from RNAcentral.